UUUUUUUUUUUUUUUUUUAACCUCUCAAAAGCUAUUGAACGUACCCAAUGUUUCCUCAUUGCCUCUCUGUACUCUGCCUUGUCCUUGUUUUAGGUGUGAUUGGAAAAGACCCAGAAAGGGAGGGAAGGCCCUUGCCAGACGCCAGUGCUGCCCCAGCUCGCCUGGGCCCUCGCAGGCCCAUUGGCCAUCUUCCCAGGAGGGGUGUGCCGGGGGCCGCCUGCUCCCUGCUCUGCUCCCAACCGCCUGUGUUUGCUGAGAGCAGCCUGGGCCCGGUGAAAGCAGCCUUUGUCCUCCAGUCCAUUCCUCCCAGAUGGGUGACCUAAGUCCCAGCUUGGGAACAAAGCGGCGCCCUGCCAUGUGAGUGCAGGUCAGCCCCAGUGGCCUGCAGAGUCUCCCAGACUAGGCUGGCAGGGGCAGUGGGGGUGGCCUUGGCUACGGGGCUGCAGAGUUAAGUGGGGUCCAGAAGGCAACAGAGCCCUCCUGGGUCCUCAGUGGUGAUGCCAGGGGCUCCUCUGAGCACAGGAUUUUACAGUUCAUGGAGUUCUUCCAUGCUUUCUGGGUUGGUGGAGCCUUGGAGAGGCAGGUAACAGUUGUCACAGGGAAGCACCUCAAAGCAUAGGGGUACAAGUCAACCCCUAUUUACUGGACUCAUAAUAUUUGCUGGGUCAGGAAACUGGGCAGGGCUCUGUGGGGACAGCUGCUCCGUGAUAUGUGGGGUGUCAGCUGGGAGCCCUAAGCAGCUGGGGCUGGAGGCUUCUUCACACACUUGUCUGGUGCCUCUGACAACCUGGAGGCCCAGCUUUCUGGGGCUGCUGUCCAGGCACCUGCUGUAGCUUGGGCUUCCUCACAGCGUGGUGGCUCAGGGCUCCCAGUGCUAAGAGGACAGAUUCUGCAUCACCCUUUAUGAUGGAUGCAGCAUCAGGCAUCUGCUGCUAUUCUCUGUUGAUGGAAGCAUCACAGGCCCCCCGAGAUUCAGAGGGAGAGGACAUGGACCCCACCUCUCAAUGAGAGGAGUGUCAAAGAAUCCAUGUUUCAAAGCUGCCACGGCCAGAAUAAAUGUCUCUUGCACUGAACGUGUGGAUGAGUACGUAAAAGUAGACUUCUGGAAGAUAGAGCCUGUAUCUUGUUCGUUUGCCUCUUUCCUCGGGUGCUCAUACAGGGCCAGGCAUACAGAAGAUGCCUAGCAAAUGCUUCCUGUUCUGCCCCAACCUUUGUGGGGGCGUCCGUCCACUCCUGAGAAUGGGCUGAGAGGGGAAGGCGGGUGGACCUCACCCUUCUCUAUCAGCCGCCUCCCAGCCCCGGGCCUUGCGGCAGGCUUCCUGUUGUUCCCCUCCUCACAGGUGGACAGGAAGUCCCCGGAGGCCUGUCGGAGGGCUGCUUCCCAUAUUUUCUUCAUGCCGGGCUGGCCCUGGUGGGACCCAGGCGCCACAGUGUGCCCUAGCGCCGGCUGGCUGAAGAGCCGUGCCCCCCAGGGACCAGGCUUCCUGACCACAUUAGCAGUUCUAUUUUGGAGCCUACCAGGCCGUUUGUGCACAAGGCAGGUGAAGCCUGGAAGAAUGUUCUAUGUGGAGCCAUCCCUGAAAACCCCCUUGUUCUGAUGCCGGCCAGGCCUGUAAAGCUCCUCACAGCUGAGCAGCAGGAACAGAGCCAAGAGUCAAGGCUUUGGGGUCUGAGAGAGCAGGGUUCAAAUCUACUUCUAUGGUUUUAAGCUGAGCCUUGGUUUUCUCAUCUGUAAAAUGGGUGUUAUAGGACCACCCCCACUCCCCGCACAGGGAUCCUUUUCUCCAAUCUUGGCUACAUAUCUGUUGCUCUUUCAGAUUCUCCUUGCUGAAACUGCGCACUCCCAGAGUUAGGAUUUCAGUAGAUUCCCAGCAAAUGUGUUUAAAGAACUGUCGCCCCAGUUGAUUCCAAGGGGUGGCAUCUCAGGCUGGUUCUGGAGACAAGGAUCCACGUGUUGUGACUUAAGGACAGAGAGCUUGGGUCGGCCCGAUCCCUGGAGGAGUUCUGAGAGUCAGUAGCACCAUGGAAUAAGCCCACCUUGGAGAAACAGGGCAGCCAUUCCUCCAAUGGCCAAGGUCUGCUGUUGGAGAAGCGGGGGCUGUGAGCUAUGGCAGCCAGCACCCCUGGCCCCAGGUCGGGGGGGCCCAGCUAGGACCAGGGGUCUGGGUGCAGCAUUUUCCAUGGUUGGUCAGUCGGCCUGAGAGAGUUCUUGACUCAAGGCAGUGAGACAGUGGGUGUAGACUGGGCAGCAUGAAGAAGUCUAUGUGCAAUAGUGACUUGGGGAAGUUCCCUGGUGGCCUGGUAGUUAAGAAUCCAGCAUUGUCACUGCUGUGGCAUGGGUUCAGUCCCUGGCCUAGGAACUUCUAUAUGUCAUGCGUGCAGAAAAAAAAAAAAAAAAAAAA
Molecule: long non-coding RNA, 2402 nt
Filed under: Sus scrofa (pig)
Lineage: Eukaryota; Metazoa; Chordata; Mammalia; Artiodactyla; Suidae
Description: lncRNA (ENSSSCG00045030836.1)
Source: RNAcentral